RNAcentral lists this ribosomal RNA (421 nucleotides) under uncultured eukaryote. Its description in RNAcentral is "bacterial SSU rRNA". It matches the Rfam family "Eukaryotic small subunit ribosomal RNA", at positions 592 to 1018 of the family's 1831-position model. The record is from RNAcentral.
CAAUAGCGUAUAUUAAAGUUGUUGCGGUUAAAAAGCUCGUAGUUGGAUUUCUGUCUGAGGCGGCCGGUCCACUUUCUGAGUGAGCAUCUGGUCCGCUUUGGGCAUCCUCCUGGGGAACGUUUCCGCGCUUGAUUGUGUGGUACGGAAUCUAGGACUUUUACUUUGAACAAAUUAGAGUGUUUAAAGCAGGCAAUCGCCUGAAUACAUUAGCAUGGAAUAACCGAAUAGGACUUUGGUUCUAUUUUGUUGGUUUUAAGGACCAAAGUAAUGAUUAAUAGGGAUAGUUGGGGGCAUUAAUAUUUAAUUGUCAGAGGUGAAAUUCUUAGAUUUAUGAAAGAUUAACUUCUGCGAAAGCAUUUGCCAAGGAUGUUUUCAUUAAUCAAGAACGAAAGUUAGGGGAUCGAAGAUGAUCAGAUACCGU